GGGGGCCGGCGAGGGGAGGCCGGGGCUGAGGGGCGAGGACCGAGGAGCGCGCGGAGGAGCGGGGUGAAGUCCCACGCGGGUAUGGGAGAGAAUGAAGUUCUUUGUCUCUAAGGGAUUCAAACCAGAAACGGAGGGACCUCUGGUUCCCAGAGGGAGGAAAAUCCAUGAUGUCUGCUGCCCAGGGAGCUAUUGCCACCGCCUCCUUGGGAUGAAGUAUUGCCAGCUACCAACAGUUCCUUCCCAACGGCCAUCUUCCAGCCUUCUUAAACGACUCCUAGCAUCUUCGGGAGGCUCCUGAAGGACUGAAGCAAAGGAAAUCUCUGAAGGGAUUUAGUCCUUGAAAGGGAGUAGGGAUACUUAGGGUGUUCUGUGUUGAGCGCUUCUUCCUAUCUCUCCAGCUUCAUGUAUGUGUGUCUUUAUGUCCAAGCAAUUGAGCCAACAAGUCCUCAGAAUUCCUUGUGAAAAAAACGUUUUUUUUUUUUGAGACGGAUUCUCACUCUGUCGCCCAGGCUGGAGUGCAAUGGUGAAAUUCAGCUCACUGCAACCUCCGCCUCCGGGGUUCAAGCGAUUCUCCUGCCUCAGCCUCCCGAGUAGCUGGGAUUACAGUCACGCGCCACCACGCCCAGCUAAUUUUGUAUUUUUAGUAGAGACAGGAUUUCUCCUUGGUCAGGCUGGUCUGGAACUCCCGACUUCAGGUGAUCCGCCCGCCUCGGCCUCCCAAAGUGGU
This 727-nucleotide long non-coding RNA is filed under the name Homo sapiens (human). RNAcentral describes it as "non-protein coding lnc-NR1D1-1:3". Lineage: Eukaryota; Metazoa; Chordata; Mammalia; Primates; Hominidae. The record is from RNAcentral.